AGACACCAUUAUGGGGCAAAACUUGCUUCAGUGGGGCUUUGGUGCUCACUGAGUCUGCCCCCUGAGUGUGUCCCU
Molecule: microRNA precursor, 75 nt
Filed under: Myotis lucifugus (little brown bat)
Lineage: Eukaryota; Metazoa; Chordata; Mammalia; Chiroptera; Vespertilionidae
Description: mir-9229 microRNA precursor family
Rfam family: mir-9229 microRNA precursor family
Source: Rfam by way of RNAcentral